This is a long non-coding RNA of Helianthus annuus (common sunflower), 837 nucleotides long. RefSeq lists it as uncharacterized. The transcript is spliced from 3 exons. NCBI's taxonomy places the organism in Eukaryota, Viridiplantae, Streptophyta, Magnoliopsida, Asterales, Asteraceae. The record is from RefSeq and is a predicted model, not a curated record.
CACAUUCUACCAAACCAAUUCUUCGCUUCAUCGAUGGAAGCUCCGUUAGAGCUAAGGUAGUAAUUGGUUGUGAUGGUGGCAAAUCUAUAAUUGCAAACUUCCUUAACCUCAAGCCUACAAAGAUGUUCCCGUCAAGCGCCAUAAGAGGUCUAACAAACUACCCAAAUGGUCAUUCAUUCGAGCAUGAGUUUGCUCGUUUUUGGAAAGAUAACAUUCUUGUGGGAAUAAUUCCAGUUGAUUGAUGAUGAUAACAUGGUUCACUGGUUUUGUUUGCUACCAUACAUUCCUAAAGAUGAAAAAAUUUGGGUAGAUCCCGGUGUGAUACAACAAGUAACACUAGAGUUGGUAAGCGACCAUCCACAGGAAAUUCGCAAAAUGAUAUAAAACACAGACAUGGAAUCAUUAUCUAUUACACACAUGAGAUAUCGUGCACCAUGGGACUUGUUAACUGGCUCGUUUUGUAAAGGAACAGUAACAGUUGCCGGUGACGCUAUGCAUGUCAUGGGCCCAUUUUUGGGUCAAGGUGGUUCAGCUGGGUUAGAAGAUUCAGUUGUGUUGGCUAGAACAAUGGCUCAGUUGGGUUUGAAUUGUUUUAAAAGCGGGAGUAAGCUAACGGUCCAUGGAGUUGAGGAAGCGUUUAGUCGGUUCGUGAAACAACGAAGGAUGAGGGUAGUCCGAUUAUCGUUGCAAACUUACCUCACUGGCAUGCUAUGGGGUACUUCUUCAUUUUUAAAUAAGAUUAUGUAUAUUGUGUUAUUGAUUCUUCUUUUUCACAACCAAAAUGGUCAUACUGAUUAUGAUUGUGGUGAUCUUUGAUAUGUUCAAAGAUCAUUAAAC